This 71-nucleotide transfer RNA is filed under the name Phakopsora pachyrhizi. RNAcentral describes it as "tRNA-Ser". It matches the Rfam family "tRNA". From Rfam's summary of the family: Transfer RNA (tRNA) molecules are approximately 80 nucleotides in length. The record is from RNAcentral. Lineage: Eukaryota; Fungi; Basidiomycota; Pucciniomycetes; Pucciniales; Phakopsoraceae.
GUGACUUAGCUCAGUGGUUAGAGCAUUAAUAUUGAAUGUUUUGGUUGCAGGUUCAAUUCCUGCAGUGCACA